AUUAAAGUAGCUUAAGAUAAAGUAUGAUUUUGAAGAAAUCAUGAUAGAAUUAAUUCUCUUUAAUA
RNAcentral lists this transfer RNA (65 nucleotides) under Urochela caudata. RNAcentral's name for it is "tRNA-Phe". The record is from RNAcentral. Lineage: Eukaryota; Metazoa; Arthropoda; Insecta; Hemiptera; Urostylididae.